GAUGAACGCUGGCGGCGUGCCUAAUACAUGCAAGUCGAGCGAACAGACGAGGAGCUUGCUCCUCUGACGUUAGCGGCGGACGGGUGAGUAACACGUGGAUAACCUACCUAUAAGACUGGGAUAACUUCGGGAAACCGGAGCUAAUACCGGAUAAUAUAUUGAACCGCAUGGUUCAAUAGUGAAAGACGGUUUUGCUGUCACUUAUAGAUGGAUCCGCGCCGCAUUAGCUAGUUGGUGAGGUCACGGCUUAUCAAGGCGACGCUGCGUAUCCGACCUGAGAGGGUGGUAGGCGACACUGGAACUGGACCACGGUCCAGGCUCCUGCGGGAGGCACCAGAAGGGAAUCUUCCGCAAUGGGCGGAAACAUGACGGAGCAGCGCCGCGUGAGUGAUGAAGGUCUUCGGAUCGUAAAGAUCUGUUAUUAGGGAAGAACAAAUGUGUAAGUAACUAUGCACGUCUUGACGGUACCUAAUCAGAAAGCCCCGGCUAACUACGUG
RNAcentral lists this ribosomal RNA (497 nucleotides) under uncultured bacterium. RNAcentral describes it as "partial 16S ribosomal RNA". It matches the Rfam family "Bacterial small subunit ribosomal RNA", at positions 28 to 507 of the family's 1533-position model. The record is from RNAcentral.